UAAAGAUAUUUAAUCGUGUCAUAUAAAUAUUCAGUACAAAAUAUCACGUUUUACAAAGCAGAUUGAUGAAUGGCCAAUGAUGAAGGGCCCUUACACUACCACGACCUCUCAAACUGUUUCUACAUUGACAAAACUCCACUGCUCAAUCACAUUGUCAACAACACAGUAUACCGUUGUAGAGGUGAGCCCGAGUCUACACAUCAACAACCACAGAUCUACCGCAUCUGGAGAAAGAGGACAUCACCAUCUCAACUUUAAAGAAAGAACAUAAAUGGCGGUACGUUCAAAUGUGCAACACGUUCCGUUAUCUUAGCUGAGCAUGGCGCCAAUGCUUGGAGGCAAUUAUACUCUCCAUAGGAAAACACAAGCACGUCUUUGUAAUGGCGAUAUGCUGACACCCUGUAUGGAGACAGAAAAUAGUGAAGGGAAACAAAUGCUUUUGUGGAGUGCUUGCUGUCACGUUGAUGUCCAUUUGAGACCUCGCAUUGUACCUUGAGGCAGAGAAGCAGAUUCCUUAGAGUGAAGGGUUUCUAACCCCAUUAAAUGCUUAUCACAGCAACACUGCCGCAGUCUGAAAUGGCCACUUAUAAUGGGAGCCACAGCAACAAGCUAAUAAACAAAAACAAGGGGGCGUAAAAACGAGUGCUUGUAUACAAUAGCAGAGCGUAAAGAAUUGUCCAACCACUGUCAAUUACAUUGUUAAAUGUGUUGCUCUGGAAAGCCUCUUUUGGAGUACAGACUGUGAAAAAUUACACCAUUAUGUUUUGUUAUUACAUGUUUUGCCUCCUCCCAUGUAGGCCUUUUGCUAAAGUGAGGGCAAAGCUUGUUAUAGCUUUUAUUAUUUUACCCUCCAAGCCUCCAGUAAUGAAAUACAUUUCAUUACUGUUUAAUUCUUGAAGUAAUAGUGAUUAAAAAAUGGUUCUGUUUUGACAUUAAAAGCUAAACUGUUGUGUGUUCCCGCUGCAGGAUAACGGUUUGACCUUCUCCAGAGGACACCGCUCUGGGUCAGUGGCCCGACAGGAGAGGCUGUCCGUCCCUCAGGAAAUCAGCUGGGAGAGCUCCAUGUUCAACACUACACACAGUACAUGUAAUGAAGGGCGGUGAACAUGAUUAGGAGUCAUUUUAAAAGGAAAAUACUGGUGCUCUUUGCUUUUUGGCACAUCUCCAAAAACUGCUAUGUUACAUUUGUAUACAUUCGACUGUGGGCGGAGCCUCCUCUACACACAACACCUUUAUCAGAAAAACCCUUGCUUUAUGCUGUAGGUUUGUUUUUUAGACUUAUUAUAAUCCGACCACCCACAAAAGGGUAAUCAACAUUUUAGGCCACUUCUCAUUGCGUAGUUUUACUUUUAUAAUUUAAGGCAUUUCUUUUGAUCAAUUUCAUCCGUUUAUACUUUCUCAAAUGAAGUAUAAAAGCUUUACAUAUGGACAGUUUACAUUUAAACACAUGAUUUAUUUUUUUGUAUGAAUUUCUAAUUGAAAUAUCAUUCUUCCAGCUUGGUACAUGAAGUCAAAUCUCGCCGUGUUUCUUCAUCACACGUACGGAUACGAAAAUAACAUUGAGUGAAUUGUUUUAAUGGUCACAGGAUGUUGCAUCAUAACAGCGCAUGUGACUUUUAGAUUUACACCAUGCUGUACUGAGUGAAUCAGACCAGCAUUUCCCUCGAACUGAGCCUCGUGUUUCUUAGAUUGGUUAUCAGUUUAUCUCAGAAUUGAACACUGUUUUUUAUUUAUUUUUCAGCCUGUUGGGUGAACUGGAAAAAUCAAGACAUUCAGCUCAAGGCAAAACGCAACUAACACUGACUGGACACACAAAGCCUACGUCUGGUCACCGGAGACAACUGAAAGGCUCUCGUUAGGAAUCCCUGUCGCUGUCGUCGCCCCCGUACAUGUCUGCCAGUUUCUUAAAGCGGGGGCCCCACUCGCUCAGGUAGUUGUAGUCCUGGUCUCCGUCGGUGGUCACCGACUCCAGGGAGCUGAGGGACUCGGCCACGGAGCCGGUCCCUUCGUAGGCGUAGGUGGCCAAGGAGUCGUAGGGCGGCGCCGUGGGGUCGCUGUCGUUGUCCUGCAGCCUCUGGUUGAUGAAGUCUCUCACGUCCCCGUUGUGGUCCCGGAUCGGGGGCAGCACGGGCCGUCGGACCGGGGGGAAGAAGGUCUCGGGGACAAUGUCCCUCCGCUGCUUGGUCUCUUCGAUGGCCUCUGGGUUGCGCAGUGUGCCGAUAUCAAAGGCCUGAGUGUCCUCCUCUCCGCCCCCUUCAUCGUUGUAGCUGACAACGUUGUCUCUGACAUCCUCUUUGGAGAUGAUCAGAGGCUCCUUCUUCCUCUGUCUCCUCAGGGCAGCAAACAGCACCACGAUCACUACAGGGACAACAAACAAAGAGAGAACAAGCGUCAGACUUUGGUGACUUUUGCUGUUGUUGCUUUGCUCCCCCCGCCUUGUUCUGAAGGCCAGUGACUGUCCAGGGGGAAUUGUUGAUGUUGCAUGAGUGUUCAUUGAUGUUCAGGGACUUUGUCUGACUUUGUAAAAACAGGCUCGGCUACCACAAGGAUACAUUAUGUAUGUUGCCUCCUCAGGGCCAAAGCUGCAUACUUUCACAAAGAAGGCAGUUUAAGAAAACACAAUAAAUUGUGUGAAUGUGUUUUAAAUGUCAGAAAAAUGAGAGUUUAGUAUGUUAUUAAACGUUUUAUGAAAGGACAUAGUUUGCCAAACAAUUCAUAAUAAUAUGUUAAAAAAUAUGCAGAAUGUUUUUUUUAAGCAAAAGUAUAGUAUGUCGAAAUCAGAGCCGUAUAAAGAGAGAGCUGCGUCAUCUCCGUUCACUCGCCCCCAAAACCAUCUGAGUCUCAGUGAAUGGACUUCCGUUGACGCAACUCUCUUUAUAGGGCUCUGGUCGAAAAGAAGCUAUAUGUCUUUUCUGUCAUACUGUACCACGCCUGGGUUUGACACACUAUAUAACGUGCCUUAUUCCCACAUAAAAUACCACCGUCUUUUUUUGCAUAAGUAUGUUGAAAAAAAUUCUAAAUAAAAACAUGGUAUUGUAUGUGAGAAUACUGCGUUGAAGCCAGGCGUGGUACAGUGUCGUCACCAGUAAAAGUAAGUAAUAUUAUAGCGUGUUGAAAUAACGGCAAAAUGUCUAAAUAGUUUUACGUAAAUAUUUCAACUAAAAGAGUAGAAACGUGUUUACUGUAGUUAAAAGAAACUCAAAUCUUAUUUUCAGUGAAGCCACCAAGGGUACAUUUAAGCUCAAAUGUUUGCAAGCGUGUGUACUCACUGAGCAGAAUGAUGACGCAGAGCAAGAUGGCCACCAGGGCUCCCGUGCUGAGGCCCGCCCUGGCUGUGAGCGCCUCGGCGUUGCACAGCUUCAUGUUGCCCUCGCGGUCGCAGGAGCACACUCUGACGGUCAGCGUGUUGGUGCUGCUCUGCAUGGGGAACACCCCGUCGGAAAUGACCACAGGCACGUGGUAGAUGCUCAUCUGAAGACUGUUGUAGCUGUUCCUUCGCGUUAGGAUCCAGGCCGUGUUGUCUGAAAACAACAGGAUGUCCGGUUACUAUGCAGACAUCAAUAACCUAAAUGAAUACUUCAAUAAACUCUACUCAACAUUGAA
This is a long non-coding RNA of Gymnodraco acuticeps, 3603 nucleotides long. RefSeq lists it as uncharacterized. The transcript has 3 exons. The record is from RefSeq and is a predicted model, not a curated record. NCBI's taxonomy places the organism in Eukaryota, Metazoa, Chordata, Actinopteri, Perciformes, Bathydraconidae.